AGAGUUUGAUCAUGGCUCAGAACGAACGUUAGCGGCGCGCCUAAUACAUGCAAGUCGAACGCGACAGGGGCAACUCUGUUGAGUGGCGCACGGGUGAGUAACACGUAGGUAAUCUCCCCCCGAGUGGUGGAUAACCUUCCGAAAGGAGGGCUAAUACAGCAUAUGACCACGGGCUCGAAAGAGCUUGAGGUAAAAGCGGAGGAUCGCAAGACUUCGCGCUUGGGGAUGAGCCUGCGGCCCAUCAGGUAGUUGGCGGGGUAACGGCCCACCAAGCCUAAGACGGGUAGCUGGUCUGAGAGGAUGAUCAGCCACACUGGAACUGAGACACGGUCCAGACUCCUACGGGAGGCAGCAGUAGGGAAUUUUGCGCAAUGGACGAAAGUCUGACGCAGCGACGCCGCGUGGGUGAUGAAGGCCUUCGGGUUGUAAAGCCCUGUGGGGAGGGACGAAUUAGUGGAAGCUAAUAUCUUCCAUGAUGACGGUACCUCCUUAGCAAGCACCGGCUAACUCUGUGCCAGCAGCCGCGGUA
This 529-nucleotide ribosomal RNA is filed under the name uncultured Pseudomonadota bacterium. RNAcentral's name for it is "bacterial SSU rRNA". It matches the Rfam family "Bacterial small subunit ribosomal RNA", at positions 8 to 522 of the family's 1533-position model. Lineage: Bacteria; Pseudomonadati; Pseudomonadota. The record is from RNAcentral.